UACGUAGGGGGCUAGCGUUGUCCGGAAUCAUUGGGCGUAAAGAGUGUGUAGGCGGCCCGGUAAGUCCGCUGUGAAAGUCGGGGGCUCAACCCUCGAAUGCCGGUGGAUACUGUCGGGCUAGAGUGCGGAAGAGGCGAGUGGAAUUCCUGGUGUAGCGGUGAAAUGCGCAGAUAUCAGGAGGAACACCAAUUGCGAAGGCAGCUCGCUGGGACGUAACUGACGCUGAGACGCGAAAGCGUGGGGAGCAAACAGG
This 253-nucleotide ribosomal RNA is filed under the name uncultured bacterium. RNAcentral's name for it is "partial 16S ribosomal RNA". It matches the Rfam family "Bacterial small subunit ribosomal RNA", at positions 524 to 776 of the family's 1533-position model. The record is from RNAcentral.